GCGCUGAUAGCUCAGUUGGGAGAGCGUUAGACUGAAGAUCUAAAGGUCCCUGGUUCGAUCCCGGGUCAGCGCG
Molecule: non-coding RNA, 73 nt
Organism: Cyclospora cayetanensis
Lineage: Eukaryota; Apicomplexa; Conoidasida; Eucoccidiorida; Eimeriidae
Source: Rfam